AGAGUUUGAUCCUGGCUCAGGAUGAACGCUAGCUACAGGCUUAACACAUGCAAGUCGAGGGGCAGCAUGAACUUAGCUUGCUAAGUUUGAUGGCGACCGGCGCACGGGUGAGUAACACGUAUCCAACCUGCCGAUGACUCGGGGAUAGCCUUUCGAAAGAAAGAUUAAUACCCGAUGGCAUAGUUCUUCCGCAUGGUGGAACUAUUAAAGAAUUUCGGUCAUCGAUGGGGAUGCGUUCCAUUAGGUUGUUGGCGGGGUAACGGCCCACCAAGCCUUCGAUGGAUAGGGGUUCUGAGAGGAAGGUCCCCCACAUUGGAACUGAGACACGGUCCAAACUCCUACGGGAGGCAGCAGUGAGGAAUAUUGGUCAAUGGACGAGAGUCUGAACCAGCCAAGUAGCGUGAAGGAUGACUGCCCUAUGGGUUGUAAACUUCUUUUAUAUGGGAAUAAAGUGAGGCACGUGUGCCUUUUUGUAUGUACCGUAUGAAUAAGGAUCGGCUAACUCCGUGCCAGCAGCCGCGGUAAUACGGAGGAUCCGAGCGUUAUCCGGAUUUAUUGGGUUUAAAGGGAGCGUAGGCGGACGCUUAAGUCAGUUGUGAAAGUUUGCGGCUCAACCGUAAAAUUGCAGUUGAUACUGGGUGUCUUGAGUACAGUAGAGGCAGGCGGAAUUCGUGGUGUAGCGGUGAAAUGCUUAGAUAUCACGAAGAACUCCGAUUGCGAAGGCAGCUUGCUGGACUGUAACUGACGCUGAUGCUCGAAAGUGUGGGUAUCAAACAGGAUUAGAUACCCUGGUAGUCCACACAGUAAACGAUGAAU
This 816-nucleotide ribosomal RNA is filed under the name uncultured bacterium. RNAcentral's name for it is "bacterial SSU rRNA". It matches the Rfam family "Bacterial small subunit ribosomal RNA", at positions 8 to 814 of the family's 1533-position model. The record is from RNAcentral.